GGCAGUAUCUAGCAACCUAAGGUAAUAUUUAUCCAAUUCCUUAUUCUUGAUGCUAAAGAAAUGGGAUUAGUAUCUUUAAUUAUAAUUUUUUUUAUGUGCUUUGGGAAACCUUUUCUUUUGUAUAUUUAUCAUGGAAAUCUGAAUAGGUUUACACUUAGCAGAAUUUAAUGAAGGAUGCUUUCCUUGUUUAAUAGGUAUCAAAUACUUGCUGGAGUU
RNAcentral lists this unclassified non-coding RNA (216 nucleotides) under Hevea brasiliensis (rubber tree). Lineage: Eukaryota; Viridiplantae; Streptophyta; Magnoliopsida; Malpighiales; Euphorbiaceae. The record is from RNAcentral.